Molecule: long non-coding RNA, 429 nt
Filed under: Callithrix jacchus (white-tufted-ear marmoset)
Lineage: Eukaryota; Metazoa; Chordata; Mammalia; Primates; Cebidae
Description: lncRNA (ENSCJAG00000086300.1)
Source: RNAcentral
AUGGAGGCUCCCCCCUCCCUUGCAGGUGCCGCUCAAGAACCACUCUCUCCAAGAUGUUUUCCUGGAUUUCCUCAGCCUAAAAUAAUCCCUCUUUUUCCUGGUUGUCUGGAACCCAAUCCACAACAUCUUCAAGACUAUACAGGAAGCAUGGUGCUGGCAUCUGCUCAGAUUCUGUGGAGGCCUCAGGAAACUCAAUCACAGCAGAAGGUGAAGGGGAAGCAGGCAUGUCUUAUAUGGCUGGAGCAGGAGGAAGAGGGGAGGGAACUCCAGGAGCAUGUGAGGAAUAACUGCCCAGAGAAACCUGUUCAAAUCCCAGGGUCUGAGGCUUUUAUGUGUAGAGGAACAGCUCUGUCAUGGCAACCUGGCAACACAGACCACACAGACAAAGACUUGACCUGCAGUUUAUCUGAAUCUUGGCAGAACUUGUGA